Molecule: ribosomal RNA, 253 nt
Filed under: uncultured bacterium
Lineage: Bacteria
Description: partial 16S ribosomal RNA
Rfam family: Bacterial small subunit ribosomal RNA
Source: RNAcentral
UACAGAGGUCCCAAGCGUUGUUCGGAUUCAUUGGGCGUAAAGGGUGCGUAGGCGGGUCUUUAAGUCAGGGGUGAAAUCCUGGAGCUCAACUCCAGAACUGCCUUUGAUACUGAGGAGCUCGAGUCCGGGAGAGGUGAGUGGAACUGCGAGUGUAGAGGUGAAAUUCGUAGAUAUUCGCAAGAACACCAGUGGCGAAGGCGGCUCACUGGCCCGGUACUGACGCUGAGGUGCGAAAGCGUGGGGAGCAAACAGG